CCCUUAGAUGUUCUGGGCCGCACGCGUGCUACACUGAGUGGAUCAGCGGGUCAGGUUGCGCGAAAGUGUUUCCUAAUCUUGAAAUCCGCUCGUGAUGGGGAUUGACGGUUGCAAUUUUCCGUCAUGAACGAGGAAUACCUUGUAAGCGCGGGUCAUCAUCCCGCGCUGAAUACGUCCCUGCCCUUUGUACACACCGCCCGUCGCUCCUACCGAUUGAGUGGUCCGGUGAGGCUUUGGGAUCUGAGCAAAAAGAGCGUUUCGCUCGUUUGUCUCGGAAAACUCAGUCGAACCUUAUCAUUUAGAGGAAGGAGAAGUCGUAACA
Molecule: ribosomal RNA, 322 nt
Filed under: uncultured eukaryote
Lineage: Eukaryota
Description: partial 18S ribosomal RNA
Rfam family: Eukaryotic small subunit ribosomal RNA
Source: RNAcentral